CUUAGUGCGGGAAGCAUAGUUCACGUUAGGUGGUUCUGGUAAUUGGCUGAUCGGGUGCAUCGAAGAUCAGAUCGCUUAAAAAAUCGACUAAUCAGAUAACUACUACUCGACACGAUGCGGCUCGGAUCGCUCGCAUUUUUUGUCAUCAUCGUUUCGUUCGUCUCGGCGAUAACGGUAGACCUCUCAUUUCGGAAAAUGACGAAGGAAGAUUUCUUUAUAAAAAUACAGAACAAAAUCAAUCUGCAAGAAGUGACGGAUCUCAAUUUAAGGGGAAACGAAAUUGACAGUUUUCUGGAUUGCUCUACUAAUCUGGAGGCACUAAAAACAUUAGAUUUAUCUCAGAAUCAUCUUCAGAGAUUCUUCUUCUUAUGCAAAGAAGAAUACCAUUUGCAAUUGUUAAACGUAAGCCACAAUAAACUAGAAUACAUCGAUGAUAAUGCUCUCAAUGAUCGAAUGACGAAACUGAAGAUAUUAGAUCUUUCUUUCAACAAGCUCACUGUCGUCAACGAGACCAUGUUACAACAUCUAACGAUUCUGGAGUAUUUGUCUUUGUCCUAUAAUCCCAUAGGGGAUGGAAUUCACGAAAAUGCUUUUUGGAAUUUAAAGGCAUUAAAACAUCUAGACCUGAGUAACAUAUCCGCGCCAUACUUUUUAUCAAAUUUCUUCAAGACCUUGACAAACUUGUCGACUUUGGAUCUAUCUUGGAACCCGAUCAGUGCGAUACCUUUAUUACCGAUAAAUUUACAAGAGUUGGAUUUAUCUGGCACGCAAAUGAUAAGUUUUGAGAACCUAUAUCUACCGCAGUUACAAGAAUUGCGGCUAAACCACAUGCCGAAUUUGACAUCGCUGGCACUGAAUGAUCUCGAGAAUCUGACCAGUCUGGAGACGUUAUCAUUGAUCGGUUCCAAACGGUUGGUCUUACUUAAUCUUUGGUCGCAAAUCGGCAUCGUGCUACCACGAUUGCAGCGACUUUCGAUAAAAGACUGCGGCCUCAAAACCUUGACUGUUGAGCUGCGUCCUUUGAUACAACGAACACCCGUUGUUGAAUUAGAAAACAAUCCUUGGGAAUGUGACUGCAACUUGGAAUGGAUUGGCCUGUUGAAUUCGACUAGGAAUCUCAGUCGAGACAUUAGAUGCCAUGCACCAGAUCGACAUCAUGCCAAACUCCUGGCUGAAAUCCUGAAAUAUGAGCUGCAAUGUGAAUACAACACGUCCGUCAUCUAUCCGAUCCUGUGGACAGGCUUCUCGAUAUUGAUCGUUGCCAUGAUCGUAGCCACGGUUUUGGUUCUCCUCAGACGGCCAAUAAGCCAAUGGAGCUUCAAGGGAAGGAACGGGGAUACCGUCACGUACAAAAACGUUGUGGAGUCGAACAAUGAUCUGGUCCGAAUACUGGCGGUGUCCGAGACGCACGAACGCAACGAAGAAUGAAGCCAAAUUGAAAGUGGAAAGAGAAAGAACAACACAGACGAGUGGACGGAAAAAUCGUCCGCUAACAGCGGACAUUUCAGCAAGUCUUUUUGCAAAAAGCUUUAUUGUAACGUUACCUUGUAACGUAAAAUAUCGUAAUUGCGAUGACCACCCAUGGAAGUCGUCCUAAAAGAUUAUCUUAUUGUUUUCUUUUUCACGUAGGUGGAAUACGUUGGUUCACAGCAUGUAAAUAGAACAAAUGUUGAUUUAAGAUAUUUCAGCAAGAUCAUCCUUUCUAUGCAAUAAGUCUAAAGCUGAUUCCUAUGCCGAUAGGUAACGAAUUAUCUACAUUAUUAUUAUUAUUAUUAUUAUCUGUAUACAAACGUAUACAGAUCUAAAUGAAGUAUAAUCGAAUGAGAAAAGUUUCUCAGGCCUCGUGAACUCAAAUGAUUAAAUUCAAUGAUCAUAUUCGAAUUCUCGAACAGCAUUCCCAGUGUCCGAUAAUAAAAACUGAAACCUCUGUAGUCGAAUAAAACA
Molecule: RNA transcript, 1944 nt
Organism: Atta colombica
Lineage: Eukaryota; Metazoa; Arthropoda; Insecta; Hymenoptera; Formicidae
Gene name: vasorin-like
Exons: 5
Source: RefSeq, a predicted model, not a curated record